This 468-nucleotide ribosomal RNA is filed under the name uncultured bacterium. RNAcentral's name for it is "partial 16S ribosomal RNA". It matches the Rfam family "Bacterial small subunit ribosomal RNA", at positions 28 to 507 of the family's 1533-position model. The record is from RNAcentral.
GACGAACGCUGGCGGCGUGCUUAACACAUGCAAGUCGAACGGAAAGGCCCUGCUGUUGUGGGGUGCUCGAGUGGCGAACGGGUGAGUAACACGUGAGUAACCUGCCCUUGACUUUGGGAUAACUUCAGGAAACUGGGGCUAAUACCGGAUAGGAGCUCCUGCUGCAUGGUGGGGGUUGGAAAGUUUCGGCGGUUGGGGAUGGACUCGCGGCUUAUCAGCUUGUUGGUGGGGUAGUGGCUUACCAAGGCUUUGACGGGUAGCCGGCCUGAGAGGGUGACCGGCCACAGUGGGACUGAGAUACGGCCCAGAGUCCUACGGGAGGCAGCAGUGGGGAAUAUUGCACGAUGGGCGGAAGCCUGAUGCAGCAACGCCGCGUGCGGGAUGACGGCCUUCGGGUGGUAAACCGCUUUCGCCUGUGACGAAGCGUGAGUGACGGUAAUAGGUAAAGAAGCACCGGCUAACUACGUG